This is a long non-coding RNA of Sapajus apella (tufted capuchin), 637 nucleotides long. RefSeq lists it as uncharacterized. The transcript has 4 exons. NCBI's taxonomy places the organism in Eukaryota, Metazoa, Chordata, Mammalia, Primates, Cebidae. The record is from RefSeq and is a predicted model, not a curated record.
GAUUCUUCCGAGGGAGGCGGGCUUGUGAGCCCUCAAAGGCGCGUGAGUGUUUUGGACCGCGAUAACUAACAAAUCAGUGGUGGCAAAAGGGUGCGCGGAGAAGCUGAGGGGAGAAAAGACGCAGAAUGUUGGCUUAAAGGAGGCGGGCUGAAAUUGACUUAUGGGCGAAAUACUCCUACACAGUCUACGCGAAGAGGGAUUUGACGGUCUCAGGUGUAUCUUUUUUUCUACCGGGUUUCUGGGAUAGAAGGAAUGAGGUAUAAGAGGACAGAUUUCUAAGAACUGAAUUGACUCCAGGGUCUUGUUCUAUUGCCCAGGCCGGAGUGCUGUGGUGUAACCAAUGGCUCACUGCAGCAUCAUCCAUCCCACCUCGGCUCAAGCGAUCUGAACUCAAGCAAUCAUCCAUCCCACCUCGGCUUCCCGAAGUGCUGCGAUUCACAAGGUCCAUCCUACAGGUUGGAACGCUGAGGGACAGCUGAGUAAGAUUCAAUCAUGCAGAAAGGAUAACAUCCUACAGAAUGGAGAAACAAUAUGACAGGAAUCUGGGUCUCUGAAUCAUGAAGCAGAGCUAUCUAUCUGCCCUGGGCCACUUGCCCACCUGUGAGGUAAUAGAGAAAUAAACUUUAAUCUAAUUUAA